CCUACGGGUGGCAGCAGUGAGGAAUAUUGGUCAAUGGGCGCGAGCCUGAACCAGCCAAGUCGCGUGAGGGAAGACGGUCCUAUGGAUUGUACACCUCUUUUGUCGGGGAGAAAAAGACGCCACGCGUGGCGUUCCGAGAGUACCCGAAGAAACAGCAUCGGCUAACUCCGUGCCAGCAGCCGCGGUAAUAAGGAGGAUGCGAGCGUUAUCCGGAUUUAUUGGGUUUAAAGGGUGCGUAGGCGGUUCGAUAAGUUAGAGGUGAAAUCCCGGGGCUCAACUCCGGCACUGCCUCUGAUACUGUCGGGCUAGAGUUUAGUUGCGGUAGGCGGAAUGUAUGGUGUAGCGGUGAAAUGCAUAGAGAUCAUACAGAACACCGAUUGCGAAGGCGGGUUCCUGGACAUUAACUGACGCUGAGGCACGAAGGCCAGGGGAGCGAAAGGGAUUAGAUACCCCGGUAGUC
RNAcentral lists this ribosomal RNA (460 nucleotides) under uncultured bacterium. RNAcentral's name for it is "partial 16S ribosomal RNA". It matches the Rfam family "Bacterial small subunit ribosomal RNA", at positions 338 to 795 of the family's 1533-position model. The record is from RNAcentral.